Canis lupus familiaris (dog) is the source of this 2529-nucleotide RNA transcript. RefSeq lists it as uncharacterized. The transcript is spliced from 4 exons. The record is from RefSeq and is a predicted model, not a curated record. Lineage: Eukaryota; Metazoa; Chordata; Mammalia; Carnivora; Canidae.
GGAAAAGCGUGGUGUACUGAGACUAAAUUCCAAGACAGACUGCCCUCCGGAUGAGAACCUGAAAUCUCUUAUAUAGUCAAAUAAUUGACCAUGUUGAACUUUACCAGACCCCUGUGAUCUUGGAAAACAGCAAAGGUUUUAAGAAAUGCCUCUCACUCCCUUUUGUGUUCUGGAAAGGGGCUUACUGCAAUGAACCACCAGCCCCCAUAGGUCUUAGGGAAAACUCAAAGACGUCCCACUUGUUUACCUAUGACAAGGUCAAGGACAAAGCCCGCAACUUCCCAUUCUCUGUUUCAUCAUCAGUGACCGGCUGAAUGGCCUGUCCCCGUGAAUUAACUGGAACAAAAUAUCUGUUACUCAAAUUCUGGUUGAGAUCAUCCUUCCCCAGGUUCCUGAACUUUGGCCCGCCCUGGGUUUGAAGCUGUCAGCUUAACACAGCUCCUCCUCAGAACCGGCUGGACCGAGGGUAACACAAUCUCCGACCUACUAGUCAACCGGUGGUGACCCUCUACGAAGGGAUACGUUGUGACCACCUGGAGAAGCUAAAGGGAUUUAUUUCUAAGAUCUUAAGUGCUCGGCUGCUGCCGAGCAGCCGAAGGAAGAGGGAGGGGCGGCGACAAGGAGCCCGGCAAGGUCAACUCCGGGACCACCUGGCGCCGCGCGCCGCACGCAGUGAAUGGGCCACGGACCCUCGGCCGCCUACUCGCCUUCACAGGAAGACUCACCAUGGCGCCGCGGACAGGUCGCGGACAGGACGCCCUGGAGUCCCCGGGACCGUCCUGGACCUUCCCUCCCCACCCCGCCGCCCCGAGCCUCUUAAAACAACGCGAGGGACAGAGUUUUCCGGCUCUGACGGAAGUUCGGCCCGCGCGGGACAGGAAGUCCCGCCCCUCUCUCCUGAACGCCGGCGACCCCACGCCACGCAGAGGUGAGGAGACGCAGGACGUCCUCUCCUGCCACUUCCGUGGGUGCUGAGGGUAGAGGCUGGGGGCGGCGCCGACCUUGAGAGCGCGCGAGGGAGGCGCAGGCGCAGCACAGGCUGCCCCUUCUUGGAGCCUUGCCGGAUCUCCGCAGACCUGGCUGUCCCUGAGUCGUCCUUUCACCUGCCUCAGUGUGCCCUGCAGCUCUCCCCUUCCGCAGGGCAGUGGAAUUUGAUCCUGAGACGUCUCUUCACUGUUCCCGCAGACCAGUGGAAACCAGAAGAACACGGAGCAAGAGCAGAGAAACCAGGACAGUUCUGCCUACUUAUGACAUUCCAGUAUGGACGGUUUCCUUUUAUUUAAAAAAAAACAAAAACUAUAUAGAUCAUCGGCUGGGAAAAAAGUGAAACUCCUAUGCACCCCUUAAAUUUGUGUUGUCGGGUUUCCCCGUCCCCCCCCCCCCACCCCCAAAAAAAAAUCUGUGCGCUUCAACUCUGUGCUCUGUGCCUUUUUAUGUGGUCAUAAGGCACAGUCCUGGAGGCGUGCUUGAAGUGGAUAUACAGAAAACCUUGAACCCAGAAACUAGUCUCGCAACUUGGGGAUCCGUGCUUAAGACGUGGCUGUAUCUACAAUUUCAUUUUUAGGAUCUCCUUUUGCCGCUGUCUAGUUUUGCCCUAAAGGUGGAAUUGGGAAGGUAAAGUAGGAAGCUUCCCAAGAAGUCAAAAGUUUGGGCAGGCAGCGGUGGCUAGAGGUGUUGUUGCACCCUGCUUGUCAGGGUACCUGGAGAGCAUGGCAGCCAAUCCACGAAUGGUCGCAGGGCCCUUGGAACCACUUCUGAGCCAUCCGCAAAGAAGCAUCCACAAGGCAAUUGCUUUAUAUUAGAAAAGGGGCUAGAGACUGAGUGUAUGAGUUGUUUUUGACUCUUAAAUUUUCUCUUGGGGAGAGAUGAAUAAUAAUGUGACAGACAAGAGAAAGGACCUUGGAAGCAGCAGGCGGUGGGGUGGGGCUGGGAGAUAGUUUGUGAGACAGACCUGCUGAGAAUCCAUCCAGAACUUCCCCGAGGGUCCUACCUCUGCUGGAUAGGGAUGACGCUGUAAAUAGACAAGCCCCAGGGCAUCUGCAGAUGCUAAGCGUGGUAGAGAAGGACUGGAGUCGUUCUGCUUGUGUAUCUGCGGGAAGCAGCUGCUAUCCUUGAGGAAGAAAAGGUGGAGAAGGAACCUGGCUAUCAGUCUGUCAGUGACAACACACUGUGUGAAGUCUUACUCUUUCAUUUCUGACACUUUGGUUCUUACAUCCGUCCUAAACCUGGCAGCCUCCUUGAGGUUCACAAAGCCUCUCCUCCAUGUGACAGUAAGACAGGAAUUAUUAUCAGGGUGGAAUCCAUUCCUGCCAGAGUAAAACCACGAAAGGAAAUCACAGUCCGUAUUCGUUACCUGCUUAUGAUUUUUAAAAGAUCAUGGGGUUCCUUAUUUGGCAUUUGACAAGUUGAAAAUAACCCUCGGUUAAUAUCCUUUAAUAUUCCAGUUUCUGUUACAGUAUGAAAAAUCUGUUACAAGUGACAUUUUUUUAAAAAGAUUAAAAUGCAUACCAUGUAUGUUUAAAGGCAGCA